GGACAAUCUAACCUAUGGAGGGGGAUAACCCCGGGAAACUGGGGAUAAUACCCCAUAGACUAUGGAUGCUGGAAUGCUCUGUAGUUGAAAGGUCCGCCGCCAUAGGAUGGGUCUGCGGCCGAUUAGGUUGUUGUUGGGGUAACGGCCCAACAAGCCUGUAAUCGGUACGGGUUGUGGGAGCAAGAGCCCGGAGAUGGAUUCUGAGACACGAAUCCAGGCCCUACGGGGCGCAGCAGGCGCGAAAACUUUACAAUGCGGGAAACCGUGAUAAGGGAACUCCGAGUGCCCGUAAAAUCGGGCUGUCCAUCGGUUUAAAUAACCGGUGAAGAAAGGGCCGGGCAAGACCGGUGCCAGCCGCCGCGGUAAUACCGGCGGCUCGAGUGGUGGCCACUAUUACUGGGCUUAAAGCGUUCGUAGCUGGUCUGUUAAGUCUCUGGGGAAAUCUGCCGGCUUAACCGGCAGGCGUUCCAGGGAUACUGGCAGACUAGGGACCGGGAGAGGUGAGGGGUACUCCAGGGGUAGGAGUGAAAUCCUGUAAUCCUUGGGGGACCACCUGUGGCGAAGGCGCCUCACCAGAACGGCUUCGACAGUGAGGGACGAAAGCUGGGGGAGCAAACCGGAUUAGAUACCCGGGUAGUCCCAGC
Molecule: ribosomal RNA, 644 nt
Filed under: uncultured Methanomicrobiaceae archaeon
Lineage: Archaea; Methanobacteriati; Methanobacteriota; Methanomicrobia; Methanomicrobiales; Methanomicrobiaceae
Description: SSU rRNA
Rfam family: Archaeal small subunit ribosomal RNA
Source: RNAcentral